UACGGAGGAUGCGAGCGUUAUCCGGAUUUAUUGGGUUUAAAGGGUGCGUAGGCGGAACAUUAAGUCAGCGGUAAAAUCGAGGGGCUCAACCCCUUUAAGCCGUUGAAACUGGUGAUCUUGAGUGGGCGAGAAGUAUGCGGAAUGCGUGGUGUAGCGGUGAAAUGCUUAGAGAUCAUACAGAACACCGAUUGCGAAGGCAGCUUACCAAACUAUAUCCGACGUUGAGGCACGAAAGCGUGGGUAGCAAACAGG
Molecule: ribosomal RNA, 252 nt
Filed under: uncultured Bacteroidales bacterium
Lineage: Bacteria; Pseudomonadati; Bacteroidota; Bacteroidia; Bacteroidales
Description: partial 16S ribosomal RNA
Rfam family: Bacterial small subunit ribosomal RNA
Source: RNAcentral